CCACCAUCUACUGACGGUUUGGCGAGAGCUCAGACUACAGUAAGGAGUUCAAUAAGAAGUUCUAAAAGACGUGGCUCCAUACACCUUUCUGCUGGGUGCGGCAGACCUGGGAGUGCACCCGCAGCUCAUCAGCAAUCACCACUGCGGCCUGGCCAGCAAGCAGGUGCCGGAUGAUUCAAGCGGUACUUCGUGUGACAUCGCGGAUGUCCGUCUUCAGGGUGCGUGGGCGUCACACGUCGACCAUCCGGUCUGCACGGUCCGCCCCGGAACAGUGCGUAACCUAUCGUUUGGACUGUCAGAUUGAUGAUCCCGGCCGCAUCGGACGCUCAGCGGUGACGUAAAUCUGGCAAACUGACGACGGAUCUGGCGCAACGUCACCUGCUAUGGGGGUAAUGGCAAUAUUCUGGCUGGUGUUUCCCCCAUUGUGUUCAUUAUCCCUUUGAAAUGAAAUAAAUGGAAUUCACUUCCACAACCACUAAUAUUGGGAGCACUAAGCAGGCGUCUGCUAUUUCCCGAUUCAGUUAUAUUUCGCUCGUUGCGCCGGCUCCCUUUGAUUUCCUAAUUUCCCGGCCUCUGCCCCCCAACAAUAACCUCCAGCUCCCGUUGUGUUGGGCGUGGACUCAUUGAA
Corythoichthys intestinalis (scribbled pipefish) is the source of this 628-nucleotide long non-coding RNA. RefSeq lists it as uncharacterized. The record is from RefSeq and is a predicted model, not a curated record. The transcript is spliced from 3 exons. NCBI's taxonomy places the organism in Eukaryota, Metazoa, Chordata, Actinopteri, Syngnathiformes, Syngnathidae.